RNAcentral lists this ribosomal RNA (486 nucleotides) under uncultured Microbacteriaceae bacterium. RNAcentral describes it as "partial 16S ribosomal RNA". Lineage: Bacteria; Bacillati; Actinomycetota; Actinomycetes; Micrococcales; Microbacteriaceae. The record is from RNAcentral.
CACGUAGUUAGCCGGUGCUUUUUCUGCAGGUACCGUCACUUUCGCUUCUUCCCUACUAAAAGAGGUUUACAACCCGAAGGCCGUCGUCCCUCACGCGGCGUUACUGCAUCAGGCUUUCGCCCAUUGUGCAAUAUUCCCCACUGCUGCCUCCCGUAGGAGUCUGGGCCGUGUCUCAGUCCCAGUGUGGCCGGUCACCCUCUCAGGCCGGCUACCCGUCGUCGCCUUGGUGAGCCAUUACCUCACCAACUAGCUGAUAGGCCGCGAGUCCAUCCUUGACCAAAAUUCUUUCCAACUCCUAGCCAUGCGGCUGAAGCUCGUAUCCGGUAUUAGACGCCGUUUCCAGCGCUUAUCCCAGAGUCAAGGGCAGGUUACUCACGUGUUACUCACCCGUUCGCCACUAAUCCCCCCAGCAAGCUGGAGUUCAUCGUUCGACUUGCAUGUGUUAAGCACGCUGCCAGCGUUCGUCCUGAGCCAGGAUCAAACUCU